RNAcentral lists this unclassified non-coding RNA (207 nucleotides) under uncultured Mycena. RNAcentral describes it as "sequence contains ITS2". The record is from RNAcentral. Lineage: Eukaryota; Fungi; Basidiomycota; Agaricomycetes; Agaricales; Tricholomataceae.
AAUUAUCAACCUUGCUCGCUUUUACUAGCUUGAGUUAGGCUUGGAUGUGAGGGUUUUUGCAGGCUUUUGUGGUCUGCUCCCUUUAAAUGCAUUAGUGGGAUCUAUUGUGGACCGUCACUUGGUGUGAUAAUUAUCUAUGCCUUGAGACUUUGAAACAAACUUAUUGGAACCUGCUCAUAACCGUCCUUCACGGGACAACUUUUGACA